RNAcentral lists this ribosomal RNA (497 nucleotides) under uncultured bacterium. RNAcentral describes it as "partial 16S ribosomal RNA". It matches the Rfam family "Bacterial small subunit ribosomal RNA", at positions 28 to 507 of the family's 1533-position model. The record is from RNAcentral.
GAUGAACGCUGGCGGCGUGCCUCAUACAUGCAAGUCGAGCGAACAGACGAGGAGCUUGCUCCUCUGACGUUAGCGGCGGACGGGUGAGUAGCACGUGGAUAACCUACCUAUAAGACUGGGAUAACUUCGGGAAACCGGAGCUAAUACCGGAUAAUAUAUUGAACCGCAUGGUUCAAUAGUGAAAGACGGUUUUGCUGUCACUUAUAGAUGGAUCCGCGCCGCAUUAGCUAGUUGGUAAGGUAACGGCUUACCAAGGCAACGAUGCGUAGCCGACCUGAGAGGGUGAUCGGCCACACUGGAACUGAGACACGGUCCAGACUCCUACGGGAGGCAGCAGUAGGGAAUCUUCCGCAAUGGGCGAAAGCCUGACGGAGCAACGCCGCGUGAGUGAUGAAGGUCUUCGGAUCGUAAAACUCUGCUAUUAGGGAAGAACAAAUGUGUAAGUAACUAUGCACGUCUUGACGGUACCUAAUCAGAAAGCCACGGCUAACUACGUG